RNAcentral lists this ribosomal RNA (439 nucleotides) under uncultured bacterium. RNAcentral describes it as "partial 16S ribosomal RNA". It matches the Rfam family "Bacterial small subunit ribosomal RNA", at positions 338 to 795 of the family's 1533-position model. The record is from RNAcentral.
CCUACGGGAGGCAGCAGUGGGGAAUAUUGCACAAUGGGCGAAAGCCUGAUGCAGCAACGCCGCGUGAGCGAUGAAGGCCUUCGGGUCGGAAAGCUCUGUCCUCAAGGAAGAUAAUGACGGUACUUGAAGAGGAAGCCCCGGCUAACUACGUGCCAGCAGCCGCGGUAAUACGUAGGGGGCUAGCGUUAUCCGGAAUUACUGGGCGAAAGGGGUGCGUAGGUGGUUUCUUAAGUAAGAGGUGAAUGGCUACGGCUCAACCGUAGUAAGCCUUUGAAACUGGGGAACUUGAGUGCAGGAGAGGAGAGUGGAAUUCCUAGUGUAGCGGUGAAAUGCGUAGAUAUUAGGAGGAACACCAGUUGCGAAGGCGGCUCUCUGGACUGUAACUGACACUGAGGCACGAAAGCGUGGGGAGCAAACAGGAUUAGAUACCCUUGUAGUC